RNAcentral lists this unclassified non-coding RNA (331 nucleotides) under Hevea brasiliensis (rubber tree). Lineage: Eukaryota; Viridiplantae; Streptophyta; Magnoliopsida; Malpighiales; Euphorbiaceae. The record is from RNAcentral.
UGCCCACUGCAAAACAAAUUUAUAAUUUUCUUCUUCAGCUGAUGUACACAAAUAUUUCUACAACAACAACUAAGUCUUAAUUCCAGACUAGUUAGAAUCAUUUUUCAUCAUUCAAUUUUGGUAAAAACCAUAUCCACAAUAUGAAUAGUUCUAAUCGAUAGUUUUAAAAGAGUUGAAUUUUUCAUUAGAAACAUCAAAACUAAUGGUCAUUUUUCUCUCAUCCAACUCAUUCGAUGAAUUACUUUAAUUUAAGGGCACGGUUAUUAUAAACUUGAUCUUUUAUAAAAAUAAAUUCGACAAUCAUUAGAUUAAAUAUUUAUAUAUAAAUUUA